GACGAACCACACGAACGUUAUUCGGAAUUACUGGGCUUAAAGGGUGCGUAGGCUGUGCAGAAGGUUAGGUGUGAAAUCCCCCGGCUCAACCGGGGAAUUGCGCUUAAAACUACUGUGCUAGAGGAAUACAGAGGUGAGCGGAACUUCGGGUGGAGCGGUGAAAUGCGUUGAUAUCCGAAGGAACACCGGUGGCGAAAGCGGCUCACUGGGUAUUUUCUGACGCUGAUGCACGAAAGCUAGGGGAGCAAACGGG
Molecule: ribosomal RNA, 253 nt
Filed under: uncultured bacterium
Lineage: Bacteria
Description: partial 16S ribosomal RNA
Rfam family: Bacterial small subunit ribosomal RNA
Source: RNAcentral